RNAcentral lists this ribosomal RNA (207 nucleotides) under uncultured bacterium. RNAcentral describes it as "partial 16S ribosomal RNA". It matches the Rfam family "Bacterial small subunit ribosomal RNA", at positions 568 to 774 of the family's 1533-position model. The record is from RNAcentral.
CAUGUAGGCGGGUCGUUAAGUCGGGGGUGAAAGCCCAGAGCUCAACUCUGGAACUGCCUUCGAUACUGGCGACCUGGACCCAAGGAGAGGCGAGUGGAAUUCCGAGUGUAGAGGUGAAAUUCGUAGAUAUUCGGAGGAACACCAGUGGCGAAGGCGACUCGCUGGACUUGUGGUGACGCUGAGAUGCGAAAGCGUGGGGAGCAAACA